RNAcentral lists this ribosomal RNA (253 nucleotides) under uncultured bacterium. RNAcentral describes it as "partial 16S ribosomal RNA". It matches the Rfam family "Bacterial small subunit ribosomal RNA", at positions 524 to 776 of the family's 1533-position model. The record is from RNAcentral.
UACGUAGGGUGCAAGCGUUAAUCGGAAUUACUGGGCGUAAAGCGUGCGCAGGCGGUGAUGUAAGACAGUUGUGAAAUCCCCGGGCUCAACCUGGGAACUGCAUCUGUGACUGCAUCGCUGGAGUACGGUAGAGGGGGAUGGAAUUCCGCGUGUAGCAGUGAAAUGCGUAGAUAUGCGGAGGAGCACCGAUAGCGAAGGCAAUCCACUGGACCUGUACUGACGCUCAUGCACGAAAGCGUGGGGAGCAAACAGG